AAAACAUGGAUUAGAUACCCGUCUAUUCAUGAUAUAAAUAAAAUCAGUCGAAUAUUACGAACCACAGUUUAAAAUUCAAAGACUUUGGCGGUGUCUUAUAAAACCAGGGGAACCUGUCUCAUAACUCGAUAAUCCACGACCACCCAACCUCUUUUAGAAACCAGCUUGUGUACUGCCGUUGUAAGCACACCUCUAAAAGGACCAGUGUGCCACUAUAACUACACCCCGUAACUUAUAUACAUCAGGUCAAAGUGCAGCCCAUAAAGAGGUGAUGAUGGGUUACAACCAUGAUACUGAACACGAAUUAGUGUAUAAAAAACACUAUGAAGGUGGACUUGGAUGUAAUUAAAUAAAUAAUAACCAAAUAAAUCCCAAUCUAAGACAUGCACACAUCGCCCUCACUCACCGACGCCCGU
RNAcentral lists this ribosomal RNA (416 nucleotides) under Perionyx sp. 1 PK-2012. Its description in RNAcentral is "partial 12S ribosomal RNA". The record is from RNAcentral. Lineage: Eukaryota; Metazoa; Annelida; Clitellata; Crassiclitellata; Megascolecidae.